Tympanuchus pallidicinctus (lesser prairie-chicken) is the source of this 10822-nucleotide long non-coding RNA. RefSeq lists it as uncharacterized. NCBI's taxonomy places the organism in Eukaryota, Metazoa, Chordata, Aves, Galliformes, Phasianidae. The transcript is spliced from 2 exons. The record is from RefSeq and is a predicted model, not a curated record.
ACCUUCAAGCAGAGAGACCAGAGUAUGUGGAGUUAAAGUGUAACUUCUUGACAGGUAAUAAUUAAAAAGCUUCUUUCUAAAUCUCUUUCCCCUCUGCUGAAAACACCGAGGCUUGCUUUUGCAAUAGAUCGCAUUGAUCGCACUCUCUGCACUGAUCUGUCACCAGCCCCCAGCCCAGAUGCUCUUCUGCACUCACCAGCACCUUCCCCUCUUUUGGCUAGAUGGCUGCUCCAGGGCCCGUUUCUGGGACCCGCCAGAGAGGAAAACCAGAGAGCCAAAGGGGUCCAACUAUCUCUCACACAGCUGGGUUGUGACUGUACCUCUGAUUUUUGCCCUACGUUCACACUGUGGGGGAGUUUGGAAAGAAAAGAUAUGCAGGAAACCAAUUCACUGCCAUUGUUGGGGAGGAUCUCUGCCAAGAGGCCUCAAACUCUUCCCAGGGGCAGAACUAUCCAAAGCAAACCUUCAGCCUCGUCCUAGCAGCCGUGUUGAAAGUUUUAGGUGCUCUGAGUUACAUGAGGUCAUAAAUUAAUCUGCCAGAGGAGUACGGCAAGCACCUGAUAUCAAAGGAGGGUCAGGAGCCGGCCAGCUCCAGCUGGCCCCACGUGUGAUUUACUCCAGGCUUUAAAGAUGUAUGCUGUGGUGUUUUGAUAAGAAUAUAAGAGUCAGCAGUUUGAUUUGGCAAUUUUUUUUUUUUUUUUUUUUACUCUUCUUUCUGAAGAGGGCUGCAGCUUAAGCUGCGGAAUUUGUUAUUGCUCUCAGGGUGCUUUUUAGCAGAGGCUCUCGGUCUGCAUGGGGCUAUUUCACCCCUUUGCUGUUAGACUUAACUACGUUUCUGUCUCUAUGGAGCAAGUCAGACAACAGUACGCACUUCAGCUCCUCUCCUGCCUGCAGCAUCUCCUGAAGCACUCAGAAAAACCACAGCCCAGUUGUACAGAUAAGAUUCUCUGCCUCGGCAAUGGCCCACCACUAUGUCAAAUUUCUGACCUCCUACCACAAGUCCUUGCCCUAUAGGUCACUCUCUUCCCCCGACAUCAUUCCAGUACAUAAGCACUUUCUUUUUGUCCUGUACAGGUGCACUCACACAUUCUUCAGGGCUGAGUGUGGGAGGAUGUCCUGCUCUUAGCUGAACACAUCUCUUACAUGCAGGUCCCAUCACACCCACGGUGCCCUCAUCCAAAGCCCCCAAACUUUCAGUCAUAGCCUUUAAUCAGAGAAAACUGAAAGAAUGAUCCCAUUCUGACAUGGAGAGACCACCAGAAAUACCCCAGAACAAGGAGUAAUGCACCAGGAGCAUUCUGUAGAAAUGACAGCAGUCACAGAGAGCAGAAUUGCAUGAGGAGUUUGGGAUUAUAUCCCUGUUUUUUUCUCCUUUCUUCCUAUUUUAGUUUCUCUGCCUGUAAAACAGGCAAAUAGCUUCUGACCCUACUGCUUCUCCAUGAGGCAAUUGCUCUCUGAAAAAAGAAAAAAAUCAGAAACACUCCGAGGACACAAUUGGUGACAGUGUUCUGAGGUGGAUGCACUGCCAUUCUUGUGUUGUGCUUGGCUUAGACUUCCCAGCACAGACCCUGUUUUCUGUUGCGUGUAGCUUUAGAAAAAACAUCAUCACUUCAGCUGAAAACUGAUAUGCUGACUGUCUGUACCAAGAUGAUUAUUUUGAAAAUACCUGCCAAAACAAUUUGUCCAUUUCCAAGAACAAGGUUAUGGAAAAAUAAACAGUUUUGCUCAUACUAAAAAAAUGGAAACUUUUUCCUUUGAAAUGCUCUGCUGCCCUCAGGCUUUGAAGCACGGACUCAAAAUGUGACCUCUUUCAUUCAAAACGUGCCUUUCCUUUCUCUGAAAAUUUACACAAAUCUGGCUAACUUGUACAUAUUAGAUUUUUUUCUUUCUUGGAUGAGCACACUCUCAGUAAUGAUUUCUUCUAUUCUAAUAGAGAAAAAAAAAAAUAAAAAAGGAUCAUUAAAGACUGGUCUUGUCUAAGAACAGAAGCUUAAGAAUACUGUGGUAAAGCUAGAUUUCCACUUUAAUCCCCACCUCCAAAUUUUCCCAGUGAGCACAAGCCUUGGCACAGGAUCUGAGAGGUAGGAAUCCUAUCUCUUCUAAGCUCUAAAUGAUUUGAAGGUUGUAUCAAGAAGAAAGGUCUCUGCAUGAAUACGACAGGGAGAAAAUUCCACCCUGUGACAGAGAAGGCAAUGGAAGCAGCCAAGCAGCCUGGAGAGAAAAACUGGGACUGGUGUUUGGAGCAAGAGCCUGGGAAUGAUUAGGUAAGGAAACACAAAGGUGUUAUGGAAAAAGCAGAGAGAAAGUGCUCAGCAGAGAAGCCUGGAGGGGAGAAAAGGGGCUGCCAUGUCCAAAAUAGCUGGGCUGAAUCUCAGGUAAAACACAGUAAAAACUGUAAGUCAAAAUGUUUUAUUUCUGUAUUGUUAACUGAUGUACUUCAGCUUCUCUGUCAAGCAUUAAUGCUUUUUAUUUUGAAUAGAAUUUGUUUUCUGAUUCUGGAAAAUAAACAAUUUAAUGACCUUCACAAUAAGUAUUUCUGAGCAAAUUCAGAACAUUUUAAAAUGAUUUUUGUGUGUGUGUGACAUCAAGCUAAGGGAACAUACUACACAGUCGGCACAAGCUGUAACAUCAGGUACUCAAAUGUUAGGACAAUGUCUAAGCUGAGAGUUCCUAAGUUCUGUCUCCCUACACUGAGAUACACGACCACAGAGAGUUCAUUCCACCAAUUUCCCAAAAUACAAACGAAGCCCUGCAAGGUAUGCCUUCUCUGUGGGCAGGGCACAAGUUUUUAUUCAAUGUAUUUUCAAUUUGUCACAGGAUUAGGUACUGUUCACAGACAAGGCAGACAAUUAUAAGGAGAGAAAGCAGAGCCUUGUGGCAAUGUGACAGCUGAAUUUUGUUUGUAGAAUCUGAAUCCACUCCCCUUUCACCUUAAAGCUUCUAUGAUGUGAAGAAAGUCACCACAAGAUGUAAUAAUUAGCAGAGAUUUUUGUGUUAUGGGAGCCCAUCAUGAAAUUCUGGAGUUGGAUUUACAGAAGAAAAUUCCUAUGACAAAAUCCAUGGGACUGUACAUCGACAAUGCCAAGGAAUGCAGAAUGUCAAACAGGCUGAAAAAAACAAGUAACCAGCAUCUCUAAUUGGAUACUCAAAAAUAGCGGGCACUUCUGACUUUAAUCACAUUUAGUUGGAGCACAGAUUUAUUAACAAGGAUAAGACUCUCACUGCUUCAAUUUUUUGUUGUAAAGGAUGUUUGCCAAACACCCAGACACUAUUCAUCUUGUGGCUGUGAGAGGAACAGCAGAAAAAUGUGCUGGGUUCAAAUUGGGAUUUCUGUGCCCUAAACAAAACCUACAGAAUCCCACACAGAUAAAUUCAACAGCAGAAACUAGCUCCUGUUAGCCCUGUUCCACGUACUACUCUGAAUGACAAAGGGGUGCUCACAAAAAUAUCAAGCAGAAAAGUCCCACACCUUUUCAAAUAAUAUUCUUGUAGGUUGUACAUGAAUGGAUGAAACAAAGUUUUUGUUUUGUUUUGUUAUUUUUGAAAAGGGAGGAAGCGAGGAAGAAAAAAAGCAGAGGAAUAAGCCCAUGAUGUCAGAAAACAUGGAAAAUAUCAGUUUUGGGCAUUCAGCUCAACAACUUCUCUUUGGUUACUGCAAGAUCUCUUUUCCUUUGCAUUUUUUUUUUUUAACAUCCUUUCAGUUGCUUCAGAACAAACAUUUUUUCCAAUGACAAAUUUUGAAUUUUGAGGAAAGCUUCCCAGUAUUUCCCAGAAAAUUCUUGAUCAUCUCCAGGUAUGUGAAGGUGCCAUUAGGAGCUGCAUGAUAACAUAUCUUUGCAAGGGAUUGUAACUGAGUGGUGUGAUCAGCUCUCAUUCUGUCACUUCCUACUGCUUUCUGCUGGCUUUAAAUGUUUAUAGACUCUGUAAUUUGCUUUUAAUUUGAGUGUGUGUGUAUGUGUAAAAUACUGUAUGACCAUAUGACCAUGCAAGAUUUAUCUUCUACCUAAUUUAUUGCUGUUCUAUUUCUUCCAUUAAAGCAUAAGUUUUUACAUCCAUUCAUUGAUUUUACAUUCCAUAGAAUCACAGAAUAUCCUGAAUUGAAAGGGACCCACAAGGAUCAUUGUGUCUAACUUGUGGCUCCGUACAGAACCAGCCAAAAUCCAAACCCUAUGUCUGAGACCAUUAUCCAAUCGCUCCUUGAAGUCCAUCAGCUUGAGACCAUGCCCACUGCCCACUUUGGGUUUUAUUGCUCUUAUAGCAUGUAUUUAAUUGCUUGAUUUUUGAUUGCUUAUAUAUUAUUUAUUUUAGCAUUGACAGCUAUAUGUAGGGAACUGGAGUAAAGUCUCCAAAGUUUUCAGGUGGAUGGCGGAACCAUUAACCCAGACUGCUCUACAGCAAGCUGGAUUUGCACAAGCAAGGGAAAAAAAAAAAUAAAAAAAUUAAAGUUCUGUUUUUUGUGUUACAGAGAAGUUCCAGAAUCACUCUCCUUUGUAAUGUAAAGAUAGUAGCAUGAUCACCAGGCAUGUGGUCCUGACCUCAGACCGAGGAUCCUUGGCCUAGAGUCAGGCAGUCCCUGCAGUCACUGAAACAGCCAAAUUAACUGUCCGUUUAGCCAUGGAUUAAAAUUCAUCCACUGAUCCAAGACAGUAAGUGAGACAAUAAUUUGUGACUCCUACUUUGCUUCACAGCAGAUCCUCAUUUAGAAUAAAGCUGCAGUUCAGCGGUGAGUUUUUAUGCCCAGAAAUAAUCAUGAUGGCAUUGCAAAAUUGUACCUGUAAUAAUUUGAACAAAUGGGAUAAAUAAAUGCAAAUUUAAAAGGAGCAAAUGGAUCCAGUUUUCAUUAAUGCAGAGCCUGUUCAAGAGCAGGGAAUAAAGAUAGCUUCGGGAACCCUGAUACAAUCAGCAGUCACUAUUACUUUGAGUAGUAACUCAUAACAAAUAAAGUGCCAUUUCCAGUGAGUAAGGACCUCUUCAACAUUGCUUUUACCACCACAACCUAACUCACUUCUUCUCUAGCAAAUCACAGACUUGAUUGAAAUGUUGUAGAGCAAAUUGCUUAAUGCUUUCUAGAGACCUCAAAUAUGUGAAGUUCCUAGUGAAUAAAUGUGACAGCUAAUUUCAAAACCAAGGACAAAAAAAAAAAAAACAGCCAGCUAGAGAAUAGAGGCUCUAUCUUUUUUAAUAUUUCUACUAGAUGCUGUACUUGGCCUUAGUGACAAAGCAAUAUACACUCCAAAGUUCAUCAUUUUUGUACUAACAUACAAGACAGAACAACUAGCGCAGUCUCAGUUACGCAAUGCAAGGGUGGCCAUCUGCUGCUGAGGAACUGGUUUUGACCCAAAUAACAGCAAGUGUUUGUGUGUCACAGACAGAAACUCAAGGUGUGUUAUCUGCAUCUCCAUUGAACAACAUUAAAAAUAAAACCAACAACUUCAAGACCUAGUAUGAAAGUCAACGUAAAACAGUACGAUUACUUCUGUGCUUGUAUACCCUGUAUCAGAAGCCUUUUCACACUGAUAAAUGUCCUCAUCAUAGUCAAUAAUAAUUAAAAAAAAAGGAAAAAAAAAGCUUUUUCUUUUUCUCAGCAUAUCUGUCCAAAUCAAAGAUCUGUUAUUUAUGUCAAUAAAGAUUUACUCUUGCUUGUGAUGAUAAUCCCAUACCAUCUCACCUCUGAGGUGACUAUCUCUCAAUGACGAGUGGAUAGAUCACUAUGUAAAACUAAGUACCUACUUUGAGGUACAGUAAUCUGACCGUAUCUCCAUGUAUCUUGGAAGGCUCCAAAACAACUGUAAGGGUCAUGAUAAAUCAUUUGAGUAUAAGGUUAAUGCUCAUUGCAAUAGCAUUGCAAUAUUUCAUAGGUAUAUGUGCAAAGGCAAAGGUUUUAUUCAUAAAUACACUGAUGAUAUAAUUGCCUUGGACCCUCCUAGCAUAAAUUUAGAGAGAGGAGUAAAAUAAAAGAUGACUCUAAUUUUCUGGCUAUGAAGAUGACUUUUCCUACGAGCAGUGGCCGGUCCAUCUUUGUCACACUCGGCAUUACAAAACUCCCCACUCGCUCACCCGUAUCACCACCAGAGAGAAGGUGAAAGGCAGAGCUGUCUAAGGAAGUAAAUUUAAGAUGAUUAAGAUAGUCUGGACUUGCUGUGUGGCCUCAGUAGUUCACUCAUGAGAAGGCUUGCCAAGGCAGAAAUGGAAGUUAGGCACCUAGUCCAACUCUUACAAUCAAGAGGCAACCUCCCUAAAAGCAGCAUGCCAGUCUUUCACUGAGUUUGAACUGUCAGAAAGAGCUGCAGUAUUUAAACUACUUUCAUGGUGAGGGAAUUUUUCAGUUUUGGGAUUAUUUUCUUGGUCACUCAUGGUAACUCCACAUUUAUGAGAAUAAGGAAAGUAUACAGGCCUACUUGUAACACUUCAGUAGAGAAGAGGCAAUUGCUUGAGAUCUAGCAGCUAAAAUUUGUGAUUCUAGUUUUAGCUCUCCUUCCAAAUAAUAAAAAUGUAUUUAAAAUAAAUAUCCAUGAUAAGAUGUACUGACAACAAUAAUAAAACUAUGGAAAUCUAAUAUAUUUGAAUGCUUACUAUCAAAUGGAGGCUACUGUAGAAGGAGUUACUGAAUGCUUUCAGCAUGAUAGACGUACUGAUUUCCAUCCUACAGCAUAUAUGGGUAUAUAUGGGCCAGGAGAACAGGGUUCAAGCCUCCAUUUUCUGGAGGUGAUGAUGAUGAAGAUAAGGUAUGUAGAACUGUAUGGAGGAGGAUGAGGCUAAAGGUGAGACAUUCUCAUAAAUACUGAUGCCAAAAGGAAAAAAAAACAGAAAUGACUUCCGAAGCCAUCAGAGAAAUCUUGAACACCAUGCUAUUUUAAUGAUUUUGUUACUGUUAUUGGAACCUGAAAAUUACUUCUGUUCUUAAUAAAUACACAUUUAUUUCAGUAUGCCUCACUAAUACUUUAACACUCCUUUGGUACCUGAUUCAUUAGAAUGCAGGUGAACUUUGCCUAAAUACGGAGAACUGUAGAGCUAAUGUUAGCAUCGUAAUGCAAAAAGCUGAGAAAGAGCAUUUUAUAAAAAGCCUAAAAUAAAUUGAAGGCCUGUAUUUUUUUAUUUUUUUUUUUUUAGUGGAAGAUUACAGAUCUGUAAUAUAUAUAUUUAUCUAGUCAUAAAUGUACUAGCAUUUUUAAAUGCACUAAUAUUUUGAAACAUGUGAGUGAAUCAAGUAAUAGACUGGAACAAAGCACAUGAUUAUCAGUUCUGCAUUCAGAGUCAGUUUGAAGUUCAGCAGACAAGUAAAUUUGAACUCAGAAAAAUAGAUUUCUAGCCCUAUAUAUUUACCUCACAGCCACUUUUUUACGGUUUGGUAAUACUUUGUUAUGGUGGGAGUGCAACCUCUAUUAAUCUGAAAGUACAAUGUAAGCUCCCUUUCUUCAGGCAUAAUUCUUCUUUGCCUGCAUAUUUGUAUCUUCCCUACCUUUGAUUUAGAAACUCUUAUUCAUCUCAGUACAGGUGGAAGUCAAAGUCUACUUUUUCUUCCGAUUAGAAUCUAUUGGCAAUUGCUCAGACAUACUGGUGCCACAGAUAAAAAGAGAUUCAGACUUUUUGUAGGGUGCUUGGUUCCUUGUGCAAAGAUGUUACAGCCUUUAAGCUGUGCAGGUGGUCAGGCUGCCGGGGCUUCCCUCAGCCCCCUUCCUACAGAGUUCUCUUCUCUUGAAGAGAACUUGGAGGAAGACUCUUAUCUUAGAUGGCCUGACAUCAUCUUGUGCAAUCUCUUUUUUCAAAGCUGCUGAAUUCUCACUCGUACCUCUGAGGCACUGACUGUGCCGUUCAUUUAAAGAAUUUAUUUAUCCAUUUUUCAUAGAAUCACACAUUAUCCUAAACUGAAAGGUACCCAUAAGGAUCAUCUAGUCCAAGUCCUGGCUCCGUGCAGGAUCACCCAAAAUUCAAACCACAUUCCUGAGAGUGCUGUCCUAUCUAUUUACUAUAAUAGGAACAAUUUCAUUCUGGACUAGUAUGCUUCAGGCUUCAGAUAUCAACAUCCAAAACAAGUCAAAGCUGUCUAUGCUUCACAUGGCACAAGAACUUUUACUCCUUCCCUAAAGAAAAUGUUCUUGUUGAAUAGGAAAUGAUACACUGGAUCAUACAUAUGGUCCACCUACACAAUGUACACUGCCUGCACCGGCUAGAAUCUGAUACAACCAGGAAAAAUGUUGAAACUACACUAUAAUCAAGUGGAAAUCCUCCUGGAGGACUUACUUUUGUUUUUAAGAACAAAAUAGUGUCCCUUGCUUCAGUUAGGGGAAAAGCUGAUUGGCUUUUAUUUGAUGUUGGAACAGGACCGAUACAUUGAUACAAAGAUACUCAGAAAAGUGAGUUUAUAAUAUCCAUAUUGAUUUAAAAGAAGCCUAAAAUUAAGGCUGUGUAAGCACUAUGGCAGGUUUCUGUUUCUAUUUAUUUGUUUUUCCAUAUUAAACAACAAAUUCUUAUGCCAAGAACCAAAGAGCAAAAUUUUACAUUCACUGAAACCAAAUACAUUUUAGAAGAAUAAAUUAUAGAAUUGGCUUUUGUUUCUAAAGUCUCUAUCAUUUUAUUCAGCAAAGGAAUUGAGAAGAUGACAUGAUCAGCAGGUAGGAAAAGCAUCUGUGGAGAUGGUGGUUGUUAUUACUGGUGGGUGAACAUGAUACUUAUGGAACAUGUAAGAAGCUUUCUGAUCUCACGCUCCAAGAUUCAUGAUGUGCAAACACUUCUGGGACUCCCAUUGAUUUAACUGGAUCUUGAAUAUUGACACAAUAAACCAGUACUAAAAAUGCUAAAAGUUCUGCUUGUGGAUAGCCUGGACACUCAGUGCUGCUUGCCUUAGGCCCAUGGUUAAUUUUUAACAACGUGGACACAAACCAAUGACCUGUGCUAUUGCUCAGGAAUGUCUGACCACUCACCGACUCCCAGUUUCAACAGAACGGCCACUAUACUGGAACUUACUGGUGCUUAAGGACGCACCCAGUUCAAACUACACCCUCCUGUUACUGGGAUGAAAGGAAUAUUGUUAUUUUGGAGUGAAAGCACACUGAGAUAUGUGAAAAGUUUGCUGAAGUUAAAAAUGAAAUGGGUUCCAGUUGUUAUUUCUUAUUACUUUUAUAAAACUGUUUUAAUAAAGAUGGAACAUUUAGACUGAAUGCAGCAAAAUGAUUACUUUAGCUUAAAAGAACAACACAAGGAAAAAUAUAUAAGUGCAUUAGGACAGUUGUUGUAGAAAUAUGAUUAAGAUCUGUACAAGUAAUAAUACAACUGAAAAAAAAAAGAUGUUCUACUGAUUUUAAUUUAUUUGUGCAUAGAAAUUUGUAAUUAAAACAAAUCCUAUUUGCUGCUUAUUUACAACUUUAUCAUAACAGGACCAUAGAGCUGAAUUAUAUUAGGUGAUUUUUAUGGUUUUUUUUCUUUCUGCUUCUGUGUACACAUCUAAAUCAUGAAGGGAAGAUGAGAGCGCUAGCAAAAUCCAAACACCUUAUUCAAAACAAAAAAUGUAAUUGUUCAGAAAUAGGCUAUUGACUUUCACUGGGUUAAACAGCUCAUGUAGUGAUUAAGCUUGAAGCUAUAAUUGUUCUUGUCACCCAAACUCUGCUCAGUCAAUAUCUUUUUAUCAUAUACAUUUUUAAUCACAUAUUAAUAAACAAGAAGGUGUGCUUUAUUGAUGCCUGGAUUAGUUUAUUGACCAACUCAACAACUCUAUGUAUGGUUUCUGAACACAGAAACAAGGUCAGUGUGUGAAGAUGAGGAAUAGUACAUUCACCAUCUUUAAUAUACUUCAUUCUAGCAGUCCUCUUGUAAGGUGUUGCAAUCUCUACAGUUUCUCCAAUUUUUUAAAAUAAAUUAUUUCAUAUUUGAAACUGCUUCAAAGUUAAAGCACAUUUUGGGUUGAGCUUUAAGAAAUAUAACCACGAGUUUCUUUAAUACAACAUGAUUUUGACACCUUGACACUAAAUUAUUUGGAAAUGUUUGGGAAAUCAAACUUUCAUGUACUUGUAGAUUCUUACAAAAUAUUGCUUAUUCACAUAGAUUUCUGAAAGCAUCUACGCUUUUCAGAUUCUCCUAACAACUAACUCUGCUCAAACUUCUUAUUCAUUCCUUUCUUUUCUCUAUGAAGUGCUACUGUGAACAUUCCAUAACAGUAACUCAGAUUUGGAAAGAAGGCCUCUAAAACAACUAUAUAAAAUUAACAAUUAAGACAGUAAUAGAACACGACAGUAUUUUUGUGUGUUCCUUCUCAUCAGACAAAAGCUGCGCAUAGGAACUCACAUUUCCUUUUUUUUUUUUCCAACUUGUUUUUCUGAUGGAUUAGAGAUAGAUCUUUUCAUCAGUAUUUGCACAAAAUACUGUUUUGCAAUAGUAUUCAAUUGAAAAUGUUUUGAUGAUUCUGUCUGUCAAAUGUUCACGUGAUAUCCUAAAAGAAGAGUCGUUUGGAAACAGAGCUGACUGCAGCAUGUAUGAAAGUACACAUCAGCCAGACACAAAGAUGAAGUCUGCUUCCAACCUGAAGCUCACAGCCUCUAAAUCCAGCUGAAAGCUCUUCUCCUUAAGUCACAGGCUUUGCAGACCAGUAUGUGAAACUAUAAGACCCUCAACAAAACCAAUGGCUGGCUCAACUCUAGAACAGUCCCUGGAAACCAGUGUGGAUGCAGCAAGAACCGAAAAGACUGUAUUAUGCCUUAAAGAGAUGAGAUGUGCACCCUCAGUAAAGUAAUACACCCAAGUAACAAGGCUAAUCAGCAAAGAUUUUGUACUAUUUCCAUAAUGAAAGUCCACUGUUGUGAAGAACUUUUCCUCCUCAAAGCCCAAGGCU